RNAcentral lists this ribosomal RNA (497 nucleotides) under uncultured bacterium. RNAcentral describes it as "partial 16S ribosomal RNA". It matches the Rfam family "Bacterial small subunit ribosomal RNA", at positions 28 to 507 of the family's 1533-position model. The record is from RNAcentral.
GAUGAACGCUGGCGGCGUGCCUAAUACAUGCAAGUCGAGCGAACAGACGAGGAGCUUGCUCCUCUGACGUUAGCGGCGGACGGGUGAGUAACACGUGGAUAACCUACCUAUAAGACUGGGAUAACUUCGGGAAACCGGAGCUAAUACCGGAUAAUAUAUUGAACCGCAUGGUUCAAUAGUGAAAGACGGUUUUGCUGUCACUUAUAGAUGGAUCCGCGCCGCAUUAGCUAGUUGGUAAGGUAACGGCUUACCAAGGCAACGAUGCGUAGCCGACCUGAGAGAGUGAUCGGCCACACUAGAACUGAGACACGGUCCAGACUCCUACGGGAGGCAGCAGUAGGGAAUCUUCCGCAAUAGGCGAAAGCCUGACGGAGCAACGCCGCGUGAGUGAUGAAGGUCUUCGGAUCGUAAAACUCUGUUAUUAGGGAAGAACAAAUGUGUAAGUAACUAUGCACGUCUUGACGGUACCUAAUCAGAAAGCCACGGCUAACUACGUG